This 481-nucleotide ribosomal RNA is filed under the name uncultured bacterium. RNAcentral's name for it is "bacterial SSU rRNA". It matches the Rfam family "Bacterial small subunit ribosomal RNA", at positions 903 to 1397 of the family's 1533-position model. The record is from RNAcentral.
AAAGGAAUAGACGGGUCUCCGCACAAGCAGCGGAGCGUGUGGUUUAAUUCGAUGAUACACGAAGAACCUUACCAGGGCUUGACAUGCAAGUGGUAGGAAACUGAAAAGGGACCGACCCUUCGGGGAGCUUGCACAGGUGCUGCAUGGCUGUCGUCAGCUCGUGUCGUGAGAUGUUCGGUUAAGUCCGCUAACGAGCGCAACCCUCGCUGCGUGUUACAAGUGUCACGCGGGACCGCCGGUAUUAAGCCGGAGGAAGGUGGGGAUGACGUCAAGUCAGCAUGGCCUUUAUGUUCUGGGCUACACACACGCUACAAUGGUCAGCACAAUAGGUAGCGAAGCCGCGAGGCGGAGCCAAUCCCUAAAGUUGGCCUCAGUUCAGAUUGCAGGCUGCAACCCGCCUGCAUGAAGAUGGAGUUGCUAGUAAACGCAGGUCAGCCAUACUGCGUUGAAUACGUUCCCGGAGAUUGUACACACCGCCCGU